RNAcentral lists this ribosomal RNA (848 nucleotides) under uncultured bacterium. RNAcentral describes it as "bacterial SSU rRNA". It matches the Rfam family "Bacterial small subunit ribosomal RNA", at positions 95 to 976 of the family's 1533-position model. The record is from RNAcentral.
GUGGCGGACGGGUGAGUAACGCGUGAGAACCUGCCUCUAGGAUGGGGACAACAGUUGGAAACGACUGCUAAUACCCAAUAUGCAGAAAUGUGAAAAUUAUUUUGCCUGGAGAGGGGCUCGCGUCCGAUUAGUUAGUUGGUGAGGUAAGAGCUUACCAAGGCAGCGAUCGGUAGCUGGUCUGAGAGGAUGAGCAGCCACACUGGGACUGAGACACGGCCCAGACUCCUACGGGAGGCAGCAGUGGGGAAUUUUCCGCAAUGGGCGAAAGCCUGACGGAGCAAUACCGCGUGAGGGAGGAAGGCUUUUGGGUUGUAAACCUCUUUUAUUAAGGAAGAAGAAAGUGACGGUACUUAAAGAAUCAGCAUCGGCUAACUCCGUGCCAGCAGCCGCGGUAAUACGGAGGAUGCAAGCGUUAUCCGGAAUCAUUGGGCGUAAAGCGUCCGCAGGUGGUCAUUCAAGUCUGCUGUUAAAGACAGAAGCUCAACUUCUGAUAGGCGGUGGAAACUGGAUGACUAGAGUAUGGUAGGGGUUGAGGGAAUUCCCAGUGUAGCGGUGAAAUGCGUAGAUAUUGGGAAGAACACCAGUGGCGAAGGCGCUCGACUGGGCCAUAACUGACACUCAGGGACGAAAGCUAGGGUAGCGAAAGGGAUUAGAUACCCCUGUAGUCCUAGCUGUAAACGAUGAACACUAGGCGUUGCUUGUAUCGACCCGAGCAGUGCCGUAGCCAACGCGUUAAGUGUUCCGCCUGGGGAGUACGCACGCAAGUGUGAAACUCAAAGGAAUUGACGGGGCCCGCACAAGCGGUGGAGUAUGUGGUUUAAUUCGAUGCAACGCGAAGAACCUUACCA